UCAACCCUCAAGCCCCGGCUUGGUGUUGGAGACCUGGCGAGGCUUCGGCCUCCGCCGCUCCGAAAAACAAUGACGGCGUCCGGUGGAUUCCUGGUACAAUGAGCUUUCCAAGCACGUAUCGUGGUUCCCGGGGGCUGGUCUGACCCCAAAUCUUCUAA
RNAcentral lists this unclassified non-coding RNA (158 nucleotides) under uncultured Herpotrichiellaceae. RNAcentral describes it as "sequence contains ITS2". Lineage: Eukaryota; Fungi; Ascomycota; Eurotiomycetes; Chaetothyriales; Herpotrichiellaceae. The record is from RNAcentral.